GUGGGAAGAACAAAUUGGAAGGUAUCAUUAAUCCAGGGGACCGAGUUUGUUUCCCAGCAGAUGUCCCUCCUUCUUCUUCUGCCCCCAAGGACAAAGACAACUCAUUCUCAGACACUCAGAGCCAUUGAAUCUACAUCAGGCAAACCUAAGGUAUCAAGGAUCAUCUCCCAGUAUCUUUAAACAUCUAUAGACUUGCAAGUGAAUGCUGCAGCAUUCAGGACUUGCCCAUCAGAGGAAGAAAAGGAAGUAAAGGACUUAUGACAUUGGAUAACCAGAGAGAAACACUCAGGUAUACAGUAGCCCUCGACUGCAGUGAUCUAAGCUUGGGAGCAAUUUAGCAGAUUGAAACUAGGAUGGCUCCUGGGGGAACUAUGAGACUGUGGCCAGCUUGAUUAACCCUUUUUUGUAUCUUUGGUGUGAAAUACUUGAAAUAACCAUGUAGGAAAUGGAUUGUAUUAGUAAGCAAUUAACCAUACAAUUGAUUCCAUAUGUGAUGUAGCUUGUGAAGUGUUUAAAAUCACAUGACUUUCAUGAAAUUGUUAGAAGUGUUCUGACUUGAUCUGAGGAAGGGCGUAAGCAUGUAAGCCCGAAACGGAUAUCAUCAUCCACGUCUAAAUAUCUUGAAUUCUUCUUUGGUAUGUAACCUUUAUGAAGAUAUUUGAAAAAGAAAGAAACGAUUUUAAGUGUAGCAACUCUUGAACUUUUUUCAUAUAUA
Long non-coding RNA from Rana temporaria (common frog), 715 nucleotides. RefSeq lists it as uncharacterized. Lineage: Eukaryota; Metazoa; Chordata; Amphibia; Anura; Ranidae. The record is from RefSeq and is a predicted model, not a curated record. The transcript has 4 exons.